ACCCCAAAUCUGGAGAGAUUCUACGGGGCUGUGAGACUCCCAACCCCCCACAACAGGUCACCCCAAAUUUGGGCAGUUCUACAGGGUUGUGAGACCCAGACUCCCCCACUUCAUGUCACCCCAAAAGCGAUCCCAAAUUCGGGGACCCGAAUCGGUCCCAAAUUUGAGGCACUUUCACAGCCCCAAACGACCCCAAAUCUGGAGAGAUUCUACGGGGCUGUGAGACUCCCAACCCCCCACAACAGGUCACCCCAAAUUUGGGCAGUUCUACAGGGUUGUGAGACCCAGACUCCCCCACUUCAUGUCACCCCAAAAGCGAUCCCAAAUUCGGGGACCCGAAUCGGUCCCAAAUUUGAGGCACUUUCACAGCCCCAAACGACCCCAAAUCUGGAGAGAUUCUACGGGGCUGUGAGACUCCCAACCCCCCACAACAGGUCACCCCAAAUUUGGGCAGUUCUACAGGGUUGUGAGACCCAGACUCCCCCACUUCAUGUCACCCCAAAAGCGAUCCCAAAUUCGGGGACCCGAAUCGGUCCCAAAUUUGAGGCACUUUCACAGCCCCAAACGACCCCAAAUCUGGAGAGAUUCUACGGGGCUGUGAGACUCCCAACCCCCCACAACAGGUCACCCCAAAUUUGGGCAGUUCUACAGGGUUGUGAGACCCAGACUCCCCCACUUCAUGUCACCCCAAAAGCGAUCCCAAAUUCGGGGACCCGAAUCGGUCCCAAAUUUGAGGCACUUUCACAGCCCCAAACGACCCCAAAUCUGGAGAGAUUCUACGGGGCUGUGAGACUCCCAACCCCCCACAACAGGUCACCCCAAAUUUGGGCAGUUCUACAGGGUUGUGAGACCCAGACUCCCCCACUUCAUGUCACCCCAAAAGCGAUCCCAAAUUCGGGGACCCGAAUCGGUCCCAAAUUUGAGGCACUUUCACAGCCCCAAACGACCCCAAAUCUGGAGAGAUUCUACGGGGCUGUGAGACUCCCAACCCCCCACAACAGGUCACCCCAAAUUUGGGCAGUUCUACAGGGUUGUGAGACCCAGACUCCCCCACUUCAUGUCACCCCAUGGAAUCGGCCGGUCCGAGCGCCGGGACGCGAGACCCCCGGCGUGGGCAGGGGUCGGCAUGGGGGUCCCCCCUUGGAGAUGGCCGUGAAUAAAAUGGUGGUUUUUUUGAGGACAGAGAGAAGUUUUGGGGGAAUUCAAGGUGUUUUGAGUGUCCCCUUCCCCAUCCAUCACCCCCCACCUCUGGGGGUUUUGUAG
RNAcentral lists this long non-coding RNA (1263 nucleotides) under Chrysolophus pictus (golden pheasant). Its description in RNAcentral is "lncRNA (ENSCPIG00010013762.1)". The record is from RNAcentral. Lineage: Eukaryota; Metazoa; Chordata; Aves; Galliformes; Phasianidae.